UGGAAUUUCAGAGUUCUAAAAUGAACCUAAAAAGUUACUUCAGCAUCCUUAGAAAUAAGUUGUUAAGGCAUGAACAUUUGAGUUCAUCCAAAGUGUUAUCAAAAGGUCUCAUCAAAUUAUUUUAUGUAGAAGAGCACCCAAAUGUUAUUUCUUGCUGUUCCUCUUCUUUUCCUCAAGAGAAAGAAGGUUGAAAACUGAAAAUGAUGAAGUUGAAGAAUGAAGUCAAUGAGUGUUAAGAAGAGAUUCAUUUAUCCUUGAACAGAAAUGAAAAAGUAGAGUGCUGGUGGUGAUCAUGUCUUCCCUUCACCCAUGGGGACUUUUCAUUUAUCGCUGCCACUCCAGCAUGUUCACUAUUCUCUGUAGCAUGAAAAUCUGAUAAAGCUCAUGAGGGGAGAGAAAACUUAACUUCAAUAUUUUCCUGCUGAGCCUGAGAGUGCUUUGUAUACCCUAGCAAGAUGAAAAUCUUAGCUGCAGCAUCAGGAAGAGGACACCUCACUUUAUCCUACAUUCCUAUCUCAGUCAGGAAAGUAGCUCUAGAGAAGGAACUAAGAAGUCAAGGCCUUUUGUGAAGUUGCUCUGUUAUCUCUGUGGCCCCAAAGACCAAAAUGAUGGAGAAAAUGAAACCAGGAUGAUUUCUGACAUCUGCUUCCACUCCACCUUCUUUAACCACUUCAUCCACAUCUCUCUUAGCUUCUCACAUAAGUCUCACCUGGAAUCAUCUUAUUUACACCAAUAAAUUUACCUACCACCUGCCUGUUGAUUGCCAAA
RNAcentral lists this long non-coding RNA (768 nucleotides) under Homo sapiens (human). RNAcentral's name for it is "HSALNT0369328". The record is from RNAcentral. Lineage: Eukaryota; Metazoa; Chordata; Mammalia; Primates; Hominidae.